RNAcentral lists this ribosomal RNA (249 nucleotides) under uncultured Anaerolinea sp. Its description in RNAcentral is "partial 16S ribosomal RNA". It matches the Rfam family "Bacterial small subunit ribosomal RNA", at positions 338 to 604 of the family's 1533-position model. The record is from RNAcentral. Lineage: Bacteria; Bacillati; Chloroflexota; Anaerolineae; Anaerolineales; Anaerolineaceae.
CCUACGGGUGGCAGCAGUGGGGAAUCUUCCGCAAUGGGCGAAAGCCUGACGGAGCAACGCCGCGUGAGCGAAGAAGGCUUUCGGGUCGUAAAGCUCUGUCCUAAGGGAAGAUAGUGACGGUACCUUAGGAGGAAGCCCCGGCUAACUACGUGCCAGCAGCCGCGGUAAUACGUAGGGGGCGAGCGUUAUCCGGAAUUAUUGGGCGUAAAGCGUGCGUAGGCGGCUUUUUAAGUCGGAUGUGAAAUCCCU